RNAcentral lists this ribosomal RNA (207 nucleotides) under Pseudomonas aeruginosa. RNAcentral describes it as "partial 16S ribosomal RNA". It matches the Rfam family "Bacterial small subunit ribosomal RNA", at positions 1327 to 1533 of the family's 1533-position model. Lineage: Bacteria; Pseudomonadati; Pseudomonadota; Gammaproteobacteria; Pseudomonadales; Pseudomonadaceae. The record is from RNAcentral. RNAcentral also lists the same sequence under 2 other names.
CGGAAUCGCUAGUAAUCGUAGAUCAGAAUGCUACGGUGAAUACGUUCCCGGGCCUUGUACACACCGCCCGUCACACCAUGGGAGUGGGUUGCAAAAGAAGUAGGUAGCUUAACCUUCGGGAGGGCGCUUACCACUUUGUGAUUCAUGACUGGGGUGAAGUCGUAACAAGGUAACCGUAGGGGAACCUGCGGUUGGAUCACCUCCUUA